Molecule: unclassified non-coding RNA, 90 nt
Filed under: Pseudomonas sp. Z003-0.4C(8344-21)
Lineage: Bacteria; Pseudomonadati; Pseudomonadota; Gammaproteobacteria; Pseudomonadales; Pseudomonadaceae
Source: RNAcentral
UGCAGGAGUGAGCCUGCUCGCGAUAGCGUUCUGUCAGUUGAUUAAAAUAUUGACUGAUCCAGCGCCAUCGCGAGCAGGCUCACUCCUCCA